GUCCGCGGGAAUUCGAUUCAGGCCUAACACAUGCAAGUCGAGGGGCAGCAUAAAACAAGCUUGCUUGUUUGGUGGAGACCAACGCACGGGUGCGUAACGCGUAUGCAACUUACCCUGUAUUGGGGGAUAGCCCGGAGAAAUUCGGAUUAAGACCCCAUAGUACUUUUGAAUGGCAUCAUUUAAAAGUUAAAGGUUACGGUACAGGAUGGGCAUGCGUCCCAUUAGCUAGAUGGUAAGGUAACGGCUUACCAUGGCAACGAUGGGUAGGGGGCCUGAGAGGGUGGUCCCCCACACUGGUACUGAGACACGGACCAGACUCCUACGGGAGGCAGCAGUGAGGAAUAUUGGUCAAUGGGCGCAAGCCUGAACAAAGCAUCCCGCGUGCAGGAAGCCGGUCCUAUGGAUUUAAAGGGCUUUUAUUUGGGAAUAAACCUAUUUACGUGUAGAUAGCUGAAG
Molecule: ribosomal RNA, 456 nt
Filed under: uncultured bacterium
Lineage: Bacteria
Description: bacterial SSU rRNA
Rfam family: Bacterial small subunit ribosomal RNA
Source: RNAcentral